This 472-nucleotide ribosomal RNA is filed under the name uncultured bacterium. RNAcentral describes it as "bacterial SSU rRNA". It matches the Rfam family "Bacterial small subunit ribosomal RNA", at positions 28 to 507 of the family's 1533-position model. The record is from RNAcentral.
GAUGAACGCUGGCGGCGUGCCUCAAACAUGCAAGUCGAGCGGGGCUAUGUAAUAUCGCAAGGUAGAACAUAGCCUAGCGGCGAACGGGUGAGUAACACGUGGGUAACCUGCCUGGAAGACAGGGAUAACGAUUCGAAAGGGUCGCUAAUACCUGAUAAUAUCCUUUCAUCGCAUGGUGAUAGGAAGAAAGGGGAAACCCGCUUUCAGAUGGGCCCGCGUCCCAUCAGCUAGUUGGUAAGGUAAAGGCUUACCAAGGCGACGACGGGUAGCCGGUCUGAGAGGAUGUACGGCCACACUGGGACUGAGAUACGGCCCAGACUCCUACGGGAGGCAGCAGUUGGGAAUCUUAGGCAAUGGACGAAAGUCUGACCUAGCGACGCCGCGUGAGGGAAGAAGGCCUUCGGGUUGUAAACCUCUGUCAUGGGGGAAGAUAAUGACGGUACCCUAGGAGGAAGCCCCGGCUAACUACGUG